AGCACUAAUUUUAAUUUUAUCAUGUGCGAUGACAUGGAACUACAACUGCAAAUACCUCAGCGCCGUCGAAGUGAAGUGGCAAAUAUGGCGGCGGGUGGUCCCCCAAACUUGCAAAAUCUGCCUGCAGUACUUGCAGCACAGAACAAUAUGAACCAAGUACUUGGGCGAGCGACCUUUGUUGCUGGUUUUGUAGAAAGGUUUAAUGCUAACAGAACGGGGCAACCACCUCCGACUAUGGGGAAGAGGCAUAACCUGAAACGCUCUAGAGGCCGACCAGUUGCCGAAUAUGCAAUGAAAAUCAUUGUUUUGGAUGGCCCCAAUUAUGAAAUGAGGCCAAUGUCGAAGUCCUCCAGAGACAAACUUAAAGAGGCCGGACUAGGUUGCCUCCAAGAAGAUGGCAAGGAUAUGAUUCGUGUUCCGGCAGAUCUGUCGGAACACGAGUUUACCUCAUUUCUUGUGGAGAAAUGCCCCAAAUUAAGGGGAAUUAAUUAUAUAUUUCAUGUAUCAGAUUCGCAUGGGAAAUUAGUUUCAGUAGCGUGUACUACACCAUCUGCAUUACGCCUAAAGACAAAAAACAUCGAGGAGGGUGGUAUACAUUGUCCCUACAGAAGAGCUUACUUUGGACCCUAUCGAAGCCCCAGCAGCAAAUGUUACAGUUGGAAGGGACCCUAUCGAAGCCCCAGCUGAAGCUCAGCCAGGUCCAGCAAAUAUCAGAAGGGACCCUAUCGAAGUCACAGCUGCAGCUCAGCCAGGUCCAGCAGAUGCGACAGUUAGAAGGG
Molecule: long non-coding RNA, 779 nt
Organism: Priapulus caudatus
Lineage: Eukaryota; Metazoa; Priapulida; Priapulimorpha; Priapulimorphida; Priapulidae
Exons: 6
Source: RefSeq, a predicted model, not a curated record